GCUUAGGGAGGAGCUUGCGUCACAUUAGUUAGUUGGUGGGGUAAAGGCCUACCAAGACUAUGAUGUGUAGCCGGGCUGAGAGGUUGAACGGCCACAUUGGGACUGAGACACGGCCCAAACUCCUACGGGAGGCAGCAGUAGGGAAUUUUCGGCAAUGGAGGAAACUCUGACCGAGCAACGCCGCGUGAACGAUGAAGUAUUUCGGUACGUAAAGUUCUUUUAUUAGGGAAGAAUAAAUGAUGGAAAAAUCAUUCUGACGGUACCUAAUGAAUAAGCCCCGGCUAACUAUGUGCCAGCAGCCGCGGUAAUACAUAGGGGGCAAGCGUUAUCCGGAAUUAUUGGGCGUAAAGGGUGCGUAGGCUGUUAAAUAAGUUUAUGGUCUAAGUGCAAUGCUCAACAUUGUGAUGCUAUAAAAACUGUUUAGCUAGAGUAAGAUAGAGGCAAGUGGAAUUCCAUGUGUAGUGGUAAAAUGCGUAAAUAUAUGGAGGAACACCAGUAGCGAAGGCGGCUUGCUGGGUCUUUACUGACGCUGAGGCACGAAAGCGUGGGGAGCAAACAGGAUUAGAUACCCUGGUAGUCCACGCCGUAAACGAUGAGUACUAAACGUUGGGUAAAACCAGUGUUGAAGUUAACACAUUAAGUACUCCGCCUGAGUAGUACGUACGCAAGUAUGAAACUUAAAGGAAUUGACGGGACUCCGCACAAGCGGUGGAUCAUGUUGUUUAAUUCGAAGGUACCCGAAAAACCUCACCAGGUCUUGACAUGCUUCUGCAAAGCUGUANAAACACAGUGGAGGUUAUCAGUUGCACAGGUGGUGCAUGGUUGUCGUCAGCUCGUGUCGUGAGAUGUUGGGUUAAGUCCCGCAACGAGCGCAACCCUUAUUGUUAGUUGCCAGCACGUAAUGGUGGGGACUUUAGCAAGACUGCCAGUGAUAA
This 935-nucleotide ribosomal RNA is filed under the name Candidatus Phytoplasma asteris-related phytoplasma. Its description in RNAcentral is "bacterial SSU rRNA". It matches the Rfam family "Bacterial small subunit ribosomal RNA", at positions 217 to 1161 of the family's 1533-position model. The record is from RNAcentral. Lineage: Bacteria; Bacillati; Mycoplasmatota; Mollicutes; Acholeplasmatales; Acholeplasmataceae.